CUACGGGGGGCAGCAGUGAGGAAUAUUGCACAAUGGGGGAAACCCUGAUGCAGCAACGCCGCGUGGAGGAUGACGCAUUUCGGUGUGUAAACUCCUUUUAUGAGUCAAGAAAAUGACGGUAGCUCAUGAAUAAGCACCGGCUAACUCCGUGCCAGCAGCCGCGGUAAUACGGAGGGUGCAAGCGUUACUCGGAAUCACUGGGCGUAAAGGACGCGUAGGCGGGUUGGAAAGUCAGGUGUGAAAUCCUACAGCUUAACUGUAGAACUGCACUUGAAACUUCUAACCUAGAGUAUGGGAGGGGGAGAUGGAAUUAGUGGUGUAGGGGUAAAAUCCGUAGAUAUCACUAGGAAUACCGAAAGCGAAGGCGAUCUCCUGGAACAUUACUGACGCUAAGGCGUGAAAGCGUGGGGAGCAAACGGGAUUAGAUACCCUAGUAGUC
This 439-nucleotide ribosomal RNA is filed under the name uncultured bacterium. Its description in RNAcentral is "partial 16S ribosomal RNA". It matches the Rfam family "Bacterial small subunit ribosomal RNA", at positions 339 to 795 of the family's 1533-position model. The record is from RNAcentral.